UGGGGAAUAUUGGACAAUGGGGGGCAACCCUGAUCCAGCCAUGCCGCGUGAGUGAUGAAGGCCCUUCGGGCUGUAAAGCUCUUUUGGCGGGGACGAUGAUGACGGUACCCGCAGAAUAAGCCCCGGCUAACUUCGUGCCAGCAGCCGCGGUAAGACGAAGGGGGCUAGCGUUGUUCGGAAUUACUGGGCGUAAAGCGAGUGUAGGCGGUUGCCGUAGUCAGGUGUGAAAGCCUUGAGCUCAACUCAAGAAAUGCACUUGAUACUGGGUGACUAGAGGACCGGAGAGGAUAGUGGAAUUCCCAGUGUAGUGGUGAAAUACGUAGAGAUUGGGAAGAACACCAGUGGCGAAGGCGGCUAUCUGGACGGUUACUGACGCUAGACUCGAAAGCGUGGGGAGCAAACAGGAUUAGAUACCCUGGUAGUCCACGCCGUAAACGAUGGGUGCUAGACGUUGGCGAGCUUGCUCGUCAGUGUCGCAGCUAACGCGUUAAGCACCCCGCCUGGGGAGUACGGCCGCAAGGUUG
This 524-nucleotide ribosomal RNA is filed under the name uncultured bacterium. Its description in RNAcentral is "partial 16S ribosomal RNA". It matches the Rfam family "Bacterial small subunit ribosomal RNA", at positions 355 to 896 of the family's 1533-position model. The record is from RNAcentral.